AAAGUCGUAACAAGGUUUCCGUAGGUGAACCUGCGGAAGGAUCAUUAAAAACGAUCACCGGUGUAUUCCAGCGACGUCGUUUACUCGACCUUGUGGGGCUGUCUUAAACUCACAGCGUUGCCAGCCGCGCGGAAUACUGAUGCCCUAGCCUUCGGGCUAGGGGCCGAGUGAAUCCCACCCGUGUCUACAUACUCUUGUUGCUUUGGCGGGCCGUGGCCUCCACUGUGGGCUCUGCCUGCAUGUGCCCGCCAGAGGAUCCAACUCUGAAUUUUAGUGAUGUCUGAGUACUAUAUAAUAGUUAAAACUUUCAACAACGGAUCUCUUGGUUCUG
This 331-nucleotide unclassified non-coding RNA is filed under the name Ascomycota sp. RNAcentral's name for it is "partial contains small subunit ribosomal RNA, internal transcribed spacer 1, and 5.8S ribosomal RNA". The stretch from base 1 to 47 matches the Rfam family "Eukaryotic small subunit ribosomal RNA", at positions 1785 to 1831 of the family's 1831-position model. The record is from RNAcentral. Lineage: Eukaryota; Fungi; Ascomycota.